Molecule: ribosomal RNA, 2921 nt
Filed under: Escherichia coli
Lineage: Bacteria; Pseudomonadati; Pseudomonadota; Gammaproteobacteria; Enterobacterales; Enterobacteriaceae
Description: bacterial LSU rRNA
Rfam family: Bacterial large subunit ribosomal RNA
Source: RNAcentral
GGGUUGUGAGGUUAAGCGACUAAGCGUACACGGUGGAUGCCCUGGCAGUCAGAGGCGAUGAAGGACGUGCUAAUCUGCGAUAAGCGUCGGUAAGGUGAUAUGAACCGUUAUAACCGGCGAUUUCCGAAUGGGGAAACCCAGUGUGAUUCGUCACACUAUCAUUAACUGAAUCCAUAGGUUAAUGAGGCGAACCGGGGGAACUGAACAUCUAAGUACCCCGAGGAAAAGAAAUCAACCGAGAUUCCCCCAGUAGCGGCGAGCGAACGGGAGGAGCCCAGAGCCUGAAUCAGUGUGUGUGUUAGUGGAAGCGUCUGGAAAGGCGCGCGAUACAGGGUGACAGCCCCGUACACAAAAUGCACAUGCUGUGAGCUCGAUGAGUAGGGCGGGACACGUGGUAUCCUGUCUGAAUAUGGGGGGACCAUCCUCCAAGGCUAAAUACUCCUGACUGACCGAUAGUGAACCAGUACCGUGAGGGAAAGGCGAAAAGAACCCCGGCGAGGGGAGUGAAAAGAACCUGAAACCGUGUACGUACAAGCAGUGGGAGCACGCUUCGGCGUGUGACUGCGUACCUUUUGUAUAAUGGGUCAGCGACUUAUAUUCUGUAGCAAGGUUAACCGAAUAGGGGAGCCGAAGGGAAACCGAGUCUUAACUGGGCGUUAAGUUGCAGGGUAUAGACCCGAAACCCGGUGAUCUAGCCAUGGGCAGGUUGAAGGUUGGGUAACACUAACUGGAGGACCGAACCGACUAAUGUUGAAAAAUUAGCGGAUGACUUGUGGCUGGGGGUGAAAGGCCAAUCAAACCGGGAGAUAGCUGGUUCUCCCCGAAAGCUAUUUAGGUAGCGCCUCGUGAAUUCAUCUCCGGGGGUAGAGCACUGUUUCGGCAAGGGGGUCAUCCCGACUUACCAACCCGAUGCAAACUGCGAAUACCGGAGAAUGUUAUCACGGGAGACACACGGCGGGUGCUAACGUCCGUCGUGAAGAGGGAAACAACCCAGACCGCCAGCUAAGGUCCCAAAGUCAUGGUUAAGUGGGAAACGAUGUGGGAAGGCCCAGACAGCCAGGAUGUUGGCUUAGAAGCAGCCAUCAUUUAAAGAAAGCGUAAUAGCUCACUGGUCGAGUCGGCCUGCGCGGAAGAUGUAACGGGGCUAAACCAUGCACCGAAGCUGCGGCAGCGACACUAUGUGUUGUUGGGUAGGGGAGCGUUCUGUAAGCCUGCGAAGGUGGCCUGUGAGGGUUGCUGGAGGUAUCAGAAGUGCGAAUGCUGACAUAAGUAACGAUAAGCGGGUGAAAAGCCCGCUCGCCGGAAGACCAAGGGUUCCUGUCCAACGUUAAUCGGGGCAGGGUGAGUCGACCCCUAAGGCGAGGCCGAAAGGCGUAGUCGAUGGGAAACAGGUUAAUAUUCCUGUACUUGGUGUUACUGCGAAGGGGGGACGGAGAAGGCUAUGUUGGCCGGGCGACGGUUGUCCCGGUUUAAGCGUGUAGGCUGGUUUUCCAGGCAAAUCCGGAAAAUCAAGGCUGAGGCGUGAUGACGAGGCACUACGGUGCUGAAGCAACAAAUGCCCUGCUUCCAGGAAAAGCCUCUAAGCAUCAGGUAACAUCAAAUCGUACCCCAAACCGACACAGGUGGUCAGGUAGAGAAUACCAAGGCGCUUGAGAGAACUCGGGUGAAGGAACUAGGCAAAAUGGUGCCGUAACUUCGGGAGAAGGCACGCUGAUACGUAGGUGAAGUCCCUCGCGGAUGGAGCUGAAAUCAGUCGAAGAUACCAGCUGGCUGCAACUGUUUAUUAAAAACACAGCACUGUGCAAACACGAAAGUGGACGUAUACGGUGUGACGCCUGCCCGGUGCCGGAAGGUUAAUUGAUGGGGUUAGCGGUAACGCGAAGCUCUUGAUCGAAGCCCCGGUAAACGGCGGCCGUAACUAUAACGGUCCUAAGGUAGCGAAAUUCCUUGUCGGGUAAGUUCCGACCUGCACGAAUGGCGUAAUGAUGGCCAGGCUGUCUCCACCCGAGACUCAGUGAAAUUGAACUCGCUGUGAAGAUGCAGUGUACCCGCGGCAAGACGGAAAGACCCCGUGAACCUUUACUAUAGCUUGACACUGAACAUUGAGCCUUGAUGUGUAGGAUAGGUGGGAGGCUUUGAAGUGUGGACGCCAGUCUGCAUGGAGCCGACCUUGAAAUACCACCCUUUAAUGUUUGAUGUUCUAACGUUGACCCGUUAUCCGGGUUGCGGACAGUGUCUGGUGGGUAGUUUGACUGGGGCGGUCUCCUCCUAAAGAGUAACGGAGGAGCACGAAGGUUGGCUAAUCCUGGUCGGACAUCAGGAGGUUAGUGCAAUGGCAUAAGCCAGCUUGACUGCGAGCGUGACGGCGCGAGCAGGUGCGAAAGCAGGUCAUAGUGAUCCGGUGGUUCUGAAUGGAAGGGCCAUCGCUCAACGGAUAAAAGGUACUCCGGGGAUAACAGGCUGAUACCGCCCAAGAGUUCAUAUCGACGGCGGUGUUUGGCACCUCGAUGUCGGCUCAUCACAUCCUGGGGCUGAAGUAGGUCCCAAGGGUAUGGCUGUUCGCCAUUUAAAGUGGUACGCGAGCUGGGUUUAGAACGUCGUGAGACAGUUCGGUCCCUAUCUGCCGUGGGCGCUGGAGAACUGAGGGGGGCUGCUCCUAGUACGAGAGGACCGGAGUGGACGCAUCACUGGUGUUCGGGUUGUCAUGCCAAUGGCACUGCCCGGUAGCUAAAUGCGGAAGAGAUAAGUGCUGAAAGCAUCUAAGCACGAAACUUGCCCCGAGAUGAGUUCUCCCUGACUCCCUGAGAGUCCUGAAGGAACGUUGAAGACGACGACGUUGAUAGGCCGGGUGUGUAAGCGCAGCGAUGCGUUGAGCUAACCGGUACUAAUGAACCGUGAGGCUUAACCUUACAACGCCGAAG